RNAcentral lists this unclassified non-coding RNA (391 nucleotides) under soil metagenome. Its description in RNAcentral is "partial contains 5.8S ribosomal RNA, internal transcribed spacer 2, and large subunit ribosomal RNA". The stretch from base 1 to 122 matches the Rfam family "5.8S ribosomal RNA", at positions 35 to 154 of the family's 154-position model. The record is from RNAcentral.
GAUGAAGAACGCAGCGAAAUGCGAUACUUGGUGUGAAUUGCAGAAUCCCGUGAACCAUCGAGUCUUUGAACGCAAGUUGCGCCCGAAGCCAUUAGGCCGAGGGCACGCCUGCCUGGGCGUCACACGUCGUUGCCCCCCCAUCUACUCCUUCGGGAUUGCGGGGGGCGGAUGAUGGCCUCCCGUGCGCCUCGCCGCGCGGUUGGCAUAAAUGCCAAGUCCUCGGCGACGCACGCCACGACAAUCGGUGGUUGCGAAACCUCGGUUGCCCGUCGUGUGCGGUCGUCGCGCAUCGAGGGCUCGAAAAAAUUGCCGGGUUCCGGCUCGGCUUUCAACGCGACCCCAGGUCAGGCUGGGUUACCCGCUGAAUUUAAGCAUAUCAAUAAGCGGAGGA